GUCUUCAUGGUGUAACUGGAAGCAGGCUCGAUUCGUAUUCGGGGGAACCAGAGUUCGAAUCACAGUGAAGGCA
RNAcentral lists this transfer RNA (73 nucleotides) under Stegodyphus mimosarum. It matches the Rfam family "tRNA". From Rfam's summary of the family: Transfer RNA (tRNA) molecules are approximately 80 nucleotides in length. Their secondary structure includes four short double-helical elements and three loops (D, anti-codon, and T loops). The record is from Rfam by way of RNAcentral. Lineage: Eukaryota; Metazoa; Arthropoda; Arachnida; Araneae; Eresidae.